UUGCCUCAGUACGGCGAGUGAAGCGGCAAAAGCUCAAAUUUGAAAUCUAGCACCUUCGGUGUUCGAGUUGUAAUUUGAAGAUGGUAACCUUGGGUUUGGCUCUUGUCUAUGUUCCUUGGAACAGGACGUCAUAGAGGGUGAGAAUCCCGUCUGAUGAGAUGCCCAUUCCUAUGUAAGGUGCUAUCGAAGAGUCGAGUUGUUUGGGAAUGCAGCUCUAAGUGGGUGGUAAAUUCCAUCUAAAGCUAAAUAUUGGCGAGAGACCGAUAGCGAACAAGUACAGUGAUGGAAAGAUGAAAAGAACUUUGAAAAGAGAGUGAAAAAGUACGUGAAAUUGUUGAAAGGGAAGGGCAUUAGAUCAGACUUGGUGUUUUACGAUUAUCUUCUCUUCUUGAGUUGUGCACUCGUAUUUCACUGGGCCAGCAUCGAUUCGGAUGGCAAGAUAAUGGCAGUUGAAUGUGGCUUCACUUCGGUGGAGUGUUAUAGCUUCUGCUGAUAUUGCCUGUCUGGAUCGAGGGCUGCGUCUUUUGACUAGGAUGCUGGCGUAAUGAUCUAAUGCCGCCCGUCUUGAAA
RNAcentral lists this ribosomal RNA (570 nucleotides) under Hansenula anomala. RNAcentral's name for it is "eukaryotic LSU rRNA". It matches the Rfam family "Eukaryotic large subunit ribosomal RNA", at positions 75 to 659 of the family's 3401-position model. Lineage: Eukaryota; Fungi; Ascomycota; Saccharomycetes; Phaffomycetales; Wickerhamomycetaceae. The record is from RNAcentral.